UACGAAGGGGGCUAGCGUUGUUCGGAAUCACUGGGCGUAAAGGGCGCGUAGGCGGCUAUGUAAGUCGGGGGUGAAAGCCUGUGGCUCAACCACAGAAUUGCCUUCGAUACUGCAUGGCUUGAGACCGGAAGAGGUCAGCGGAACUGCGAGUGUAGAGGUGAAAUUCGUAGAUAUUCGCAAGAACACCAGUGGCGAAGGCGGCUGACUGGUCCGGAUCUGACGCUGAGGCGCGAAAGCGGGGGGAGCGGAACGGG
This 254-nucleotide ribosomal RNA is filed under the name uncultured bacterium. RNAcentral's name for it is "partial 16S ribosomal RNA". It matches the Rfam family "Bacterial small subunit ribosomal RNA", at positions 524 to 776 of the family's 1533-position model. The record is from RNAcentral.